GCCUGAAGCCACUCAUUUUUCUGGAGAUCAUAUUUAUCCAAAAGACUGCCCCAUGACGAUUCAAAAUCCUCAAUUGUCUCAGAAAAAUUAAUGCAGCUAUACAGCUCUCCAUAAAAGGAUGGAUGAGAAAGGUAUAUGUGAACAACCUUUCUUGGCCUUCCCUCAAGAUGUGCCACUUGCAGAUACAAUGGCGAGUAUCUGGAAGCACCUGAGCAACUGCCAUUUGUAUGGCUCUAUCUUGGUCAGUGGUAAGAGAAACAGGAGGUCGGUCAUUCAUUGCAGAUAGCCAUGUCCUAAAUAGCCAAGUAAAGGAAGACUCAGACUC
RNAcentral lists this unclassified non-coding RNA (325 nucleotides) under Hevea brasiliensis (rubber tree). Lineage: Eukaryota; Viridiplantae; Streptophyta; Magnoliopsida; Malpighiales; Euphorbiaceae. The record is from RNAcentral.